Molecule: ribosomal RNA, 321 nt
Filed under: Bathylaimus sp. TJP-2010
Lineage: Eukaryota; Metazoa; Nematoda; Enoplea; Enoplida; Tripyloididae
Description: bacterial SSU rRNA
Rfam family: Eukaryotic small subunit ribosomal RNA
Source: RNAcentral
CAUAGUUUAUUAGAUAGUUCCUUUACAUGGAUAACUGUGGUAAUUCUAGAGCUAAUACAUGCAACAAACGGUAACCUUUUGCGAGGGAGCCGCGCUUUUAUUAGAACAAAACCAAUCGCAUGAUGGCGAAAGCCGUUUUUGCGUCAUUUGGUGAGUCUGAAUAACUUGGCAGAUCGCACGGUCUUUAGCACCGGCGACGCAUCUUUCAAAUGUCUGCCUUAUCAACUUUCGAUGGUAGUUUACAUGCCUACCAUGGUGAUAACGGGUAACAGAGAAUAAGGGUUUGACUCUGGAGAGGGAGCCUGAGAGACGGCUACCACA